Delphinapterus leucas (beluga whale) is the source of this 164-nucleotide small nuclear RNA. Its record names the gene U1. It matches the Rfam family "U1 spliceosomal RNA". Rfam says of the family: U1 is a small nuclear RNA (snRNA) component of the spliceosome (involved in pre-mRNA splicing). Lineage: Eukaryota; Metazoa; Chordata; Mammalia; Artiodactyla; Monodontidae. The record is from Ensembl.
AUACUUAACUGGAAGGGGAGAUACCAUGAUCACAAAGGUGGCUUUCCCAGGGUGAGGCUCAUCCAUUGCACUCCGGGUGUGAUGACUUCUGCGAUUUCCCCAAAUGUGGGAAACUCGACCGCACAGUUUGUGGUAGUGGAAGGCUGCGUUUGUGCUUUUCCCCU